This 73-nucleotide transfer RNA is filed under the name Stegodyphus mimosarum. It matches the Rfam family "tRNA". Rfam says of the family: Transfer RNA (tRNA) molecules are approximately 80 nucleotides in length. Their secondary structure includes four short double-helical elements and three loops (D, anti-codon, and T loops). Lineage: Eukaryota; Metazoa; Arthropoda; Arachnida; Araneae; Eresidae. The record is from Rfam by way of RNAcentral.
GCCUUCGUGAUGUAGUGGUCAGCACACUCGACGCGUAACCGAGAGGUCCAUGGUUCAAAUCCCGGUGAGGGCA